Long non-coding RNA from Arachis duranensis, 626 nucleotides. RefSeq lists it as uncharacterized. The transcript is spliced from 4 exons. NCBI's taxonomy places the organism in Eukaryota, Viridiplantae, Streptophyta, Magnoliopsida, Fabales, Fabaceae. The record is from RefSeq and is a predicted model, not a curated record.
GGAUGCAUGGCAGUGCGACAUAUGUGGUUCUAAAUCUGGAAGGGGAUUUGAGGCAACUUUUGAAGUGCUCCCUAGACUUAAUGACAUCAAAUUUGGUAGUGGAGUAAUUGACGAACUUCUCUUUUUGGAGUUGCCACGCGAACAAAGAUUUCCUUAUGUUAAAAUUUUUGGAAAGCAACGAGGGUGAUCCUGAGUUACUUGUUUUCAUUCCAUUUACUUCAGAUGUCAAAAUUAAAAGCAUAUCCAUAGUAGGCGGAGCUAAUGGGACAAGUCCUGCUAAAAUGAGAGCGUAGUCCGCAAAAACGAUCCUUUAGGAAGAGAUGUUGAACUCUUUCGUCGGCAUUAUUACGCUCCAGGUCAAGUUGGUCCAGCCUCUAUGGGUAUACUCCUGCUGACUGAUUGAAAGUAGCGUUUUUGUCUAAUGGUUUAUUUGUCGAGGAGAUGUAUUUGUCAGUGGCUCUGAGCAAGUCACCAUCAUGCAAUCUAAAAGGAAUAGGAUCAAUAUAAAAUCUUGUUUGUUUAAAUUGUUGAAAAUGAAGGAACUAGUAGUGUCAAUGAGUAAUGUAAAUAGUUAUAGUUCUGUCAAUAGUUUAUUUUUUUGGGUACCUUUUUAUGAUAGACAGAUA